GACGAACGCUGGCGGCGUGCUUAACACAUGCAAGUCGAACGGAAAGGCCCUGCUUUUGUGAGGUGCUCGAGUGGCGAACGGGUGAGUAACACGUGAGUAACCUGCCCUUGACUUUGGGAUAACUUCAGGAGACUGGGGCUAAUACCGGAUAGGAGCUCCUGCUGCAUGGUGGGGGUUGGAAAGUUUCGGCGGUUGGGGAUGGACUCGCGGCUUAUCAGCUUGUUGGUGGGGUAGUGGCUUACCAAGGCUUUGACGGGUAGCCGGCCUGAGAGGGUGACCGGCCACAUUGGGACUGAGAUACGGCCCAGACUCCUACGGGAGGCAGCAGUGGGGAAUAUUGCACAAUGGGCGGAAGCCUGAUGCAGCAACGCCGCGUGCGGGAUGACGGCCUUCGGGUUGUAAACCGCUUUCGCCUGUGACGAAGCGUGAGUGACGGUAAUGGGUAAAGAAGCACCGGCUAACUACGUG
This 468-nucleotide ribosomal RNA is filed under the name uncultured bacterium. Its description in RNAcentral is "partial 16S ribosomal RNA". It matches the Rfam family "Bacterial small subunit ribosomal RNA", at positions 28 to 507 of the family's 1533-position model. The record is from RNAcentral.